GGUGGGCUGUUGCAAUGGUAGCAAGUAGACCUCCUACUGCAAAAUUAAAGCCGCACUGGAAUCAAAGUCUAAGGUUGUGGGUUCGAGUCCCACGUCCAUCG
Stachybotrys elegans is the source of this 101-nucleotide non-coding RNA. NCBI's taxonomy places the organism in Eukaryota, Fungi, Ascomycota, Sordariomycetes, Hypocreales, Stachybotryaceae. The record is from the annotation of a GenBank genome assembly.